Capra hircus (goat) is the source of this 107-nucleotide small nuclear RNA. NCBI's taxonomy places the organism in Eukaryota, Metazoa, Chordata, Mammalia, Artiodactyla, Bovidae. The record is from Ensembl.
GUGCUCGCUUCAGCAUCACACAGACUAAAAUUGGAACGAUACAGAGAAGAUCAGCAUGGCCCCUGCACAAGGGUGACUCGCAAAUUCGUCAAGUGUUCCAUAUUUAA